GGUGAAUGUUGUUACUGCCAUGAGGAGAAAUGGUCUUACCUACAAGCAGCCAAUUUCUCAUUCCAGGACUCUAGCCAGAAGAAUUGAUUUCUUUUUUUUUUUUUGAGACGGAGUUUCGCUUUUGUUGCCCAGGCUGGAGUGCAGUGGCCCGAUCUUGGCUCACCGCAACCUCCGCUUCCCAGGUUCAAGCAAUUCUGCCUCAGCCUCCCGAGUAGCUGGGAUUACAGGCAUGCACCACCAUGCCUGACUAAUUUUGUAUUUUUAGUAGAGACAGGGUUUCUCCAUGUUGGUCAGGCUGGUCUUGAACUCCCAACCUCAGGUGAUCUGCCCGCCUCGGCCUCCCAAAGUGCUGAGAUUACACGUGUGAGCCACCGUGCCUGGUCUAGGGAAUUGACUUCUUUUUGACCUUCUGCACUCCCUUCUCCAAAAGGAUUGUGGCUUCUGAUGACCACUGACCUCAGCAGAAGUUGAUAAGGCAGGAGGAAUUUCCUGUUAACACAGUGGGUUAGUCCUCCUGGAAAACCAGCUGCUGAGCAUGAGUUUUCCUUGGAUCUCUCUGGGCCUUGCAUCCACAGGAAGCUUUGAGGUAGGGCCCUUGGUGUUUACAACUUCUGAGAGAGUAGUGAUGGGACCCCAAAGUAAGCUAGUAUCAGAGGGCAGUAAUGACCUUCCCAUAUGCCCAUCCUGUGGUCACCUGGGAUUUGGGUUCCCUGGGAGUGGAGGUGGGAAAUAGGAGCCCAGGGAAGGACAUUUGAAGCACCCACGGUUUAAAUAUCGACUCUUCCUGGCUAGCCAGGGCGUGCUCAUGUUGGGGCCUACCCAGGUCAGUGGCCUUUUCACUCUCAAAGAUCAGGGGUGACGAAGCAGCAUCUUAAACAGUGUUUAGGCUGACAGAUUUUUCCAGUUGAAGAAGCUGAAGUAUCUGCCUUUUGAGGGUGACUUUAGAUUACAAGAAAGACUAUCAGAUCCAAUCAGCUUUUGAAAAAUCAGGAAUGUGCUUAAAAUGCCAGUGAGUUGUGAAGAUCAGGUUUAUUUCCCAGGGUAGGCAGUCUUCCUUUCCCUCCUUUUCCAGUUCUUUUUUCCUACCUGCCCUUCUGUAAGCCUGGUCUCUAGUGCCAAGGACCUUGGAAGAAAGAGGGCCCCUAGCUCAGCUGGAGCCAGAAAGAACCUUCAUGGUGAGUGUGGUUUCCCAAACGUGGGAAAUGAACCUAGGGUGAGAUUAGGGAGGAUUUGUAGAAUUCUAGCAGGUAAAAAUCAAGCCUUUUUCCUCUCCCAUAGUAAACUUAACCAUUUUCACCCUGUACAUUAUCUUCUAGUUCCUACUAACAUCUCCAGUUAGACAACCGCUUCAAAGGGUGCUUAGCACCAGGGAUUGGGGUUCAUGGACUUAGGAGGUGGUAAGGAAACUGACUGGCACCACCAAACUGCCUUAGUGAACUUGGCCCUUCCCAGGCAGGUAGGUUGGGCAUUGAGGGAAAGUGGCCCAGUCUUUCCUGGCAGGGUCUGGCCAGUCUCAUGGGAGCACCACUAGUGUGGUGACAGAAGUGGUGUCAUUUAUUGAAUUCCACCUCCGUUUAGAAGGAGAUCAUGGUACAAAGCCCAGGAGGGGCCUUAAGAUGUGAAGAUCUCUCUGAGUAAAAGGCAAGGGGCUUCUCUUCUUCACCUCUGGGAUAGGUGGUAGAUCGGAGAGUUUUAUUUUCAGGGUCAAGGCUGUGGACUGAUGGGGAUAUUGGAGGGUGGGUGGGUUUUCCUGAGAGACUUUGUAUAAUGCUGAAUGUGUCCAGAGGGACAAGUUUGCAGAACCUCAUAUUGGUAUAUUAAAGAAAUAAUAAAAUAAAAAAGCACUUUAGGUUAUUUUAUCUUUAACCCGAUUGCUGCAAUUUCUUUUGUGUGUAUAUAUACAUAUAUAUACUUUCCACAAAGUUUAUUUUUUGCUCAGAAUAAAAAGUUAAAUUGAGGUGUGAAAAGAAAAGCACUUACCUUGGUGCAAUAUGUGUAGCUUGAUGGUCGUUGUCCCAUGUGGCCCUGGCCUGGCCGCGUUUUUCCGCUCAAUCAGCCCUGUGCUAUGAGGCUGUCCAUAGAGAAACACUAUUAUGCAUUCUCAGCAACCGCUCAAUCUAUGCAAGCCUUCCCUGUGUGCCCCAGGGCGCCCCCUCAGGCUCUCUGAAGAACUGCUGUGGGUCCUGUUUUCUGCUGACUGUUGAGGCCCUUUUUCAUCACUUCUUGGUCUCUCGCCAUCUUUUCCCUCUUCACCAUUACAAAAUGAUGCCUGAAAGGAAGGAACAGAUUGUUCCUAGGUAGAAACCUGGCACCUUCUAGACUUUGAUAUUUGUAAUCACAUCCAUUGUCCUUAAAGACUUUUCCAGAGUCAUUGAAACCAUUGAUGUGUGGAACUGCAACAGUAUUUCUCAAGAGUUUACAAUUGUCUUACACCACCAAUCAGAAAUAUGUUUGGGGGGGCAUGGGUGGCAGGGGGCAACAUGAGCCAUUUCCAUACUGGUCCCCAUACUACCUGUGUUGGUUCCUUAAGCAAAAAGGCCUCCAGCCUUCAUUAAAUCCUAUAAACAAACAUUAAAUCCUAUGAAUCAUUAUCAACUUUCUUCCUUUAUUCCACCUCCCCGAUUUUAUCUUCAAUUCUCAGGCUAUAGAAUAGGCAAGUUUUAAAAUAUAAUUCAGCCAAAGCAGAAAGAUUUUCAUAGAUCUAAUAUGCAAAUGGUUCUGCUGGGACAUAGAUCAGAAAUUAUCUGUUCCUUAAUAUUUCGGGGUGGAGGCAACAAAACUGGAGCAUAUUUCUGAUUGGUUAGCCAUAUUAGCCUGUUUCCUCUUGCAUGUUUUUUUAGGGAGAGAGGGAAGGGGUCCUGUAUUUCUUCUGAUGCCCUUAGGGGAAGCCAACGACCACUGGGCAUUUCUCACUGUUACUCCUGUUCAAGAGAGGGCUUCUCAGUCUGCACUGAAAAAUGCAAAUUAAACUGGAUCUUUAUGUCAAUGUGUACAUAGUACAAGCUUUUCUACUGGAAUUGAGGUUCAAAACCACACGCUGCCCUUUUGGUGGUGUGCCUGUUGGGCCAAAAUUGGGCGAUCACGUAGUGUCCCUUUCUCAGCUCAAUGCAGUUUCUACUUUUUCUUAUGGGAAAAUUUUUCAUAAAACCUUUUUGCACCAAAACCCAGGGGUGUUUUUUGCAAUAUCCUUGUUAUCCUCGUAGUGUGCCAAGUCAGAGGCUUCUCUUGCCCUUUUCCUGCUGUGUUCUCAGGCCUCCCAAGGGCUGUUUGACUCAACAGUCUACAUCCUUAGUUGUGUUUUGGAGAAUGUGAGGGUGGGGGUCAGAGUUCAAAGUGUCUGUUCCCUUUUCCUGUGAACUCUUCCUAGUCCGUUUGGGGAAGGUGGCUGGAAACAGAUUGUUGCUUAAUCUCUGGCUCAGAUCUUCUAGCCAGGAAAGGCAAGAGCCCCCAAGAGCCCUCUUUUUUUUUGACAUACACUAAUCAUUGGCCGGGGUCUUGGUGACAACUUUUAAAAUCCCAAAUAGUUUUAUUUGGAUUAUGUAAAAGUAAGUGUGAAACAUGGGAACAACGGACUUCCACUGAGCGAUAUGAAAACGUUACAGGUUCAGUACUUCCAAAGGAAGAAACCUCCAAACCCAAAAAAGAAUAAAUACGAAUUUGUAUUUUUGAAGAAUGUGAAAUAAUGGUGUUUGCUUAAUUGCUCAUUUUGUAUAAACUUAAUAUUGUACUUUAAAAUAUCUGCUAAGAAGUGAAAAUUUAACUUUUUGGAAUUGAAAAAGCAAUAUUAAAUACUAAUGAAAUCCUAAUUAAAUGCUUAUUUAAAUCUGGUA
Mandrillus leucophaeus (drill) is the source of this 3830-nucleotide long non-coding RNA. RefSeq lists it as uncharacterized. The transcript is spliced from 2 exons. The record is from RefSeq and is a predicted model, not a curated record. NCBI's taxonomy places the organism in Eukaryota, Metazoa, Chordata, Mammalia, Primates, Cercopithecidae.